AUGGCGGGUAGAUUAGUUCUGUCGGUGGUGGUGACUCUGCUAGCUGCGGCCGGGGCAGCCGCGGCGGAGUCGUCGUGCCCGGCGACGCCGCCGGACGCGGGGGCGACGCUGCAGGUGUCGCACGCGUUCGGGCCGUGCUCGCCGCUGGGAAACGCGGCCGCAGCGCCGUCGUGGGCGGGGUUCCUCGCGGACCAGUCCUCCCGGGACGCGUCGCGGCUGCUGUACCUCGACUCCCUCGCCGUGGCCGGGCGCGCGUACGCGCCGAUCGCGUCCGGGCGGCAGCUGCUGCAGACGCCGACGUACGUGGUGCGCGCGCGCCUCGGCACCCCGCCGCAGCAGCUCCUGCUCGCCGUCGACACCAGCAACGACGCCGCGUGGAUCCCCUGCUCCGGCUGCGCGGGCUGCCCCACCACCACGCCCUUCAAGCCAGCCGCGUCCACCUCGUACCGCGCCGUGCCGUGCGGCUCGCCGGCGUGCUCGCGGGCGCCGAACCCGUCCUGCUCGCUCAACACCAAGUCCUGCGGGUUCAGCCUCACCUACGCCGACUCCUCGCUGGAGGCCGCGCUGUCCCAGGACUCCCUCGCCGUCGCCAACGACGUCGUGAAGAGCUACACCUUCGGAUGUCUCCAGAAGGCCACCGGCACGGCGGCGCCGCCGCAGGGCCUCCUCGGGCUCGGCCGCGGGCCGCUGUCGUUCCUGUCGCAGACCAAGGACAUGUACGAGGGCACCUUCUCCUACUGCCUCCCGAGCUUCAAGUCCCUCAACUUCUCCGGCACGCUCAGGCUCGGCCGCAAGGGCCAACCGCUGCGCAUCAAGACGACGCCGCUGCUCGUCAACCCGCACCGCUCCUCGCUCUACUACGUGGGCAUGACCGGCAUCCGCGUGGGCAAGAAGGUGGUGCCCAUCCCGCCCUCCGCGCUGGCGUUCGACCCGGCGACGGGCGCCGGCACGGUGCUCGACUCCGGGACGAUGUUCACCAGGCUGGUGGCGCCGGCGUACGUGGCGGUGCGCGACGAGGUCCGCCACCGCAUCCGCGGCGCCCCGCUCUCCUCCCUCGGCGGGUUCGACACGUGCUACAACACGACGGUGAAGUGGCCGCCGGUCACGUUCAUGUUCACCGGCAUGCAGGUGACGCUGCCGGCGGACAACCUGGUGAUCCACAGCACGUACGGCACCACCAGCUGCCUGGCCAUGGCGGCGGCCCCCGACGGCGUGAACACGGUGCUCAACGUCAUCGCGAGCAUGCAGCAGCAGAACCACCGCGUCCUGUUCGACGUGCCCAACGGCCGCGUCGGCUUCGCCCGCGAGCAGUGCACCGCGGCUUGA
Molecule: ribosomal RNA, 1326 nt
Filed under: Triticum aestivum (bread wheat)
Lineage: Eukaryota; Viridiplantae; Streptophyta; Magnoliopsida; Poales; Poaceae
Description: partial small subunit ribosomal RNA
Source: RNAcentral